GCCUAGCCGUAACAUACAAUUAAACCACCAAUUGUCCGCCAAACAACUACGAGUAUACUUAAAACUUAAAAGACUUGACGGUGCUUCACCACGCCCUAGAGGAGCCUGUCUAGUAACCGAUAAUCCACGAUUAACCCAGCCCCCUCUGGCCUAACAGUCUAUAUACCGCCGUCGCCAGCUUACCUUGUAAAAGAAAUAAAGUAAGCCAAAUAGCAUCACACUUAAACGACAGGUCGAGGUGUAACUAAUGAGAGGGACUAAGAUGGGCUACAUUCUCUCAACUGAGGAUACGAACAACACUAUGAAAUUAGUGUUUAAAGGCGGAUUUAGCAGUAAGAUAAGAAUAAAACACUUAACUGAACAUAACGCAAUGAAGUGCGUACACACCGCCCGUCACCCCGUCCACCACCACAAUACACAUUUAAUUAAACCAACCAAAAACAUAAACCAGGGCAAGUCGUAACAUGGUAAGUGUACUGGAAAGUGCACUU
This 491-nucleotide ribosomal RNA is filed under the name Crotalus adamanteus (eastern diamondback rattlesnake). RNAcentral's name for it is "partial 12S ribosomal RNA". Lineage: Eukaryota; Metazoa; Chordata; Lepidosauria; Squamata; Viperidae. The record is from RNAcentral.